This 1435-nucleotide long non-coding RNA is filed under the name Androctonus crassicauda. The record is from RNAcentral. Lineage: Eukaryota; Metazoa; Arthropoda; Arachnida; Scorpiones; Buthidae.
AUUUUUUAUAGCAAGUAAAAUUGUUUCUAAAAAUUUCAGUAAUAAAAUAUAAUAUCUGAAUGGUCUAACUAUAUAUGUUUUUUGGUAUAUUUUAAAGCUUUUGAUUGUUAAAGAUAAAAUAUAAAUUUCUAGGUAUGUGGCAGUGUCAUAGAAUAUCUGGAAAUGUAAAUAUUGCUUUUGUUAGAGUCGUGAAGAUCCAUCAAUUUUCUAAGAUCAUUCGCGAUGACUGGGCGUAUCUAUAUGAAACAGCACUGACUUUCAUAUAAAGUAUCUUUGAUAGAUUCUCAAAUCCCAUUCCCCAGGAGUUUUCCCAGGGAAUUUUUCCAUUCUUGAAGCUCGAAAAACCAUUCAAAUGAUUCAUUUUUUUUUAAUAAAAAAUAUGAUUUAAGAUGUAUUUUUAUAAUGUUAAUCAAUAUUAUGAGACUAUAUUCAGGGAGAAUUUUAAUUUUUAUAGUAUUUUAUUUAUAGUUAUUUACUGCUACUUUGUUCUCUUUGAACUUGAUAUAUAUAAAUCAACCAAAUCUACGAGAAGAAUCCAAAUGAAGAGGAAAAUGGCCUAUUUUCAUGUUGAAGGCUUACAUAUCAUUGCAGAUUCAUUUCAAUAGUAGCUAUCAUCUCGUUUAACAAUGUGGACUGAAUAUAUGAUUGUAUACUGCAAGAAUCUCCCAUUCAUAAACAUGUUUUUUCACACACAUGUAUUGCAUGCGAAAUGGUUAAAACAUUAUUUUCAGUGGAUAACUAAAAAUUCAUUAUUGUGGCAGAAGAAUUAAGUAACGAAUUAUCAAUUUAAUUAACAUUUUCAGUAGAUCAUAAUUAUUAUAUACGAAUCUUCUUGUUUAUAAUUAUCAAAUAUACAAGCUCUCUUAUAUUGCUACCAUUAAAAUCAUCUCGAUCUCACUGCUGUAAAGGGACCAUCGAACCAGUAAACAUAAUUAUACAAAUAUAGAAACAGUUAAGCCAAGAAAGUAACAUUGGAAACACGUGUGUUCUUUCUAUUUCAGUUUUUCAAAUGCGGGAUAAACGUCAUUUGCCUAAAGAAGUGUUUCUUUCUUCUUUUCUUUUAUACUAAAGAAAGAAGUAGAUUUGGAAGAGAGUGCAAAGAAUCCAUAGUUUAAAAUUCGUCAAAUGGCAAAGAAUCAAAAAAAUGACUGGCAAAAAUGGAAAUGUCUGAAGGAGAAAAAUACAAAUAUAGAUGGACAAGAAAGAGAAGUGUUUUAGUGAGAAAAGCUGACAUAUUUGAAAACCACAGUGACUUCUAAAAUGAAAGAAAUAUCUGACGGUGAAAUGGAUGGAAACUCGGGACAGGAAAUCAGGAAGAAAAUAAUGAUCGGGAAACAAAAGAAGAAAAAAAAGAUUGAUGAAGAUGAAAUGGAUGGAAACUCGGGACAGGAAAUCAGGAAGAAAAUAAUGAUCGGGAAACAAAAGAAGAAAAAAA